UCUGUGACCACGCCUCGGCAGUGCUAGUCACACCUCCAAGUUUUGCCAGCUCCUCCCCCUCAUUCCGGGCCUCUCGGGAUCAGCUCUUCCUAUUGGCUAUGGGCCCCAUCGGUCGAUAGAAAACGGGCGGUGAUUGGCAAGUGAACCGGAGCAAACGACUUCCGAUCCAGUCUGCGCUGUUGCAGCUCCCGUUUGGGAUUUGAUUUGCAGCAUCUUUGAGCCUCUACGACAAAAAAACCGCGAAGCACGCCCAGCCCUCCCCCGGCACCCCGAAAAGCACCCACUCCCUCCCGGGGACACAGCUGGGCGCGUCCACACCCCCGCAGCCCCACACCAUGUUGUGCGGAAGGACUUCCACUCCCCGCCUGUGUCGUUGAUGUCAGACCCCAGGCCAGCCUCCGGGCGCUGCAGUUCUCCCGGCUAAUGCUGAGGCUGCGGCUCCGGCUCUAGCACAGGCACCAGCCGCCGCCGCACCCGGCCUCAGCGCCCACCGUCUGCAUGUGCCCGCCGUAGCCGUCUGCCCAGCCCGCAGCCCGCG
RNAcentral lists this long non-coding RNA (538 nucleotides) under Homo sapiens (human). RNAcentral describes it as "non-protein coding lnc-PPIAL4F-12:1". Lineage: Eukaryota; Metazoa; Chordata; Mammalia; Primates; Hominidae. The record is from RNAcentral.